This is a long non-coding RNA of Megalopta genalis, 2561 nucleotides long. RefSeq lists it as uncharacterized. Lineage: Eukaryota; Metazoa; Arthropoda; Insecta; Hymenoptera; Halictidae. The record is from RefSeq and is a predicted model, not a curated record.
ACAAAUGAACUUCGUUUGUAUGAGAUAGCUGCGGGAAAAAUUGUCCUGAACAUUUCUGUGCCAGCAAAAUAUUUUGUUAUCACCUAAAUUGACAGAUUCCAAAAUUUUAAAUGUCAUUAUCCGCAUUAACCUCUAAUCUGUGUACUGCGUAACUGUCGCUACGAUUUUUUGGAUAACUCUGUUGGUCUGACGAAAAGGUGUUCCAAGCAAGAGUUAAUUAGUUCUCAGCCGACCACAAAUUGCUGUAUAAAAAAUUUCGAAAAAGUUGUUUUCUCGACAAGAUAUCAAGCGUAUGAACAUCAAAUUCCAUUUGGUACACUGGUAUGGAUAGAUGAACGCGACGGCUUUCUGUGAGCGAAUUCCUUCAGUAUACGAUCAAGAAUUUGAUAUCUCGGCGCUAAUAAGUUCCAUGCGAGUGAAAACGCGCGCUCGCGAUUUCUCCCCUAAUUUAUUAUACUUGGUCUGGUAAUGAUUGCUGUAUCAGCGCGCACAGCAACACUCGCGACACCUAUUUUCGACUUUUAUUGGAGACAGAAAGAUUUCUAAUUGAAAUAAGGAAGGUGGUUCAUAGGCAUGUAAGACAGAUUUUCCAAAAAUUGCCUGAUCAAAAAGACACUUACUUGAUCCGCUUGGGACCCAUUUGAUGCCGAUCCACCAUAACGAGAACAUAGUGGAGUGAUGGUAAACAUGGAGGAAGCUUAGUUGAUUGUUCUUCUUCCGGAGGAUGAAGAAGAACGUAUCACAAAACUCGAGGAGUUUGCUGAAGUAGUACCACCAAACUGCGUGAGCGAUCUGCCGAUGGAAAGAAAAAAAAUAUGUAUACAUUGAAAUUGAUAUGAAAUUUUAGCGUAUAGAUUUUACCGCACCUGUACUUCGUCUGGACGCGUCACCUGUCUGAUCGGCUGGCAGACGUAACUGUAACUUAACCUGGUGGAUGCUACAAACAACUGGAAAUUACAAAUCUCUUUAAUGCCGAUCGUACCUUUUAUUUUCAAUAAAUUUGGGGAUACUGAUAUAAUACUUUCUAACUUUCUAUAAAAUUCUCGGAGCUAUAUUCUUUCUACUAUAAAUCUCUUGCUAUAAAUUUCUAUUCGCUUCUACAAUUUGUAUAGGAAGUUAUUAUUUGUUGUAAAUGUCCGCAGUGUGCGAGUAUUCACGGCAAAUGGUAAAACUAUAAGUACAAUAGAAUUUGAGAGACCUCGCUAAAGAGUUGUCAACAUAUUUAAGUGAAAAUUUAACUGGAAAUAAAAUACGCGAGAAUUUCAGCUUUCAUUUGGCCAACAGUUGCGAAUCUGUCAACUUUGCCAAUCUAGUUGCGAAAUAAAUACAAUUAAUUAAUUUACAGAUGCAAUGUGUUAUGCGCCAAACGUCUUCCAUGGUUUUCUGUUUCGUUUAUUAUUGCCAGAAAUGUAUAGCAUUGUUCAGGUACCGCAGAAACAAUAAUCAAGGAAAAUUAUGUUUGUAAUAUCUUGUAACUUCGUCAGACUUCAGACACCUACAGCGAUAAAACGGUACUUAAUGUUGCAGUAGAAGAGUUCGGCUAAUCAAAUCCGAACGAAACCUGAUUUCUACAUCUGCGAACUGUGUCAGUAGUCACCGCGGUGGCAAACCGACACACGUUCACCGUUCAAUUAGCAUUCCACCGGAGAUUCCUCCGACAAGGCUCGAUGAUCGCUUGAUCAUCGGUUGAUCAGCGCCGGAUUGUCGGAUCGAGCGUAACGAUGAUAAACCCGCGACAGCCGUGACCGUUAGGACACCUUGUGCAACUGAUGUUGAUGUGGAAAUCGGGGACGAGAGGAGAAACACGAGUGGUAGAAAGCAAAGAGAUUGUGUAUAUGUACCUGAAUGGCGAUGUACGCGUUCAGACAGGCCAUCGAGAGAUUAUAGGGUACGAGGGCCCAGGUCAGCUUGAACGCUUUCCGAUUUCUCAUGAUCUUUGGCCCGGCCCACACUAUCAGCAGAUACAACAUCGUGUAGAUCAAAGUAGGCUUCGGCGAAUCGACCAGCAGCCAUCCUCUCGUUCGUUCGUCUAGGAAAACCCAAUGCAAUCAUGCUGCAAUUAAUCGUGGGUCGCCACGGACAUUGUAAAACACCUGGCAAACUGUAGGACAUUGUCUCCUAAAUUUCCGAUGCUGUUGCAAGGAAUAGUAUAAUGAUUAGACUGCGGAUUAUUAUGCAAAACGCAAAUUCGCUGCAUCAAUUGCAAAAAGUUUGAAGUGCACACAGAUUUAUUUAUUCUUCUAUUAAUUUUGAGAAGUCACGAAGAAUGUAAUAGCAUCUUUAUAUUUUUUGACAGUUUUCGCUAUUGUACAUUUGACGUGUCCAUUUUGAUCAUAAGUGCAUAAAGAUCCGCAAUCUAAUAAUGAUACUGGAGCCUAACGCUGAUGGCAAAAGUAGCUUUAUCGAGCCCGGUUAUUUGAUGCAAAGCGUGAUCUUCCGUGUAUCGUAAUUUUCAGGAUUUCUAAUAGUUGGUGAAAUGUUCCAUAAAAAAUAUAUCUAAUAUUUUAUGUAAUGCGAUGAUAAAUAAUAUAUGGUAAAUAAUAACGGAUGAUGAAGUGAGA